AAGAAUAAUUUAUAAAGGAGCCGCUAACUACCUUUUAAGUGUAAAACACUUUAUUCUUA
RNAcentral lists this transfer RNA (59 nucleotides) under Pyrops clavatus. Its description in RNAcentral is "tRNA-Ser". The record is from RNAcentral. Lineage: Eukaryota; Metazoa; Arthropoda; Insecta; Hemiptera; Fulgoridae.